UCGAGAAUCUUUCACAAUGGGGGCAACCCUGAUGGAGCGACGCCGCGUGGAGGAUAAGGUCUUCGGAUUGUAAACUCCUGUCAUGCGAGAACAAGGCCUUACGGCUCGAUAGUAUCGCAAGAGGAAGAGACGGCUAACUCUGUGCCAGCAGCCGCGGUAAUACAGAGGUCUCAAGCGUUGUUCGGAAUCACUGGGCGUAAAGGGUGCGUAGGCGGCGAGGAAAGUCAGAUGUGAAAUCCGAAGGCUCAACCCUCGAAUAGCAUCCGAAACUUCCCCGCUCGAGAUUUGUAGAGGAGUCUGGAACUCUCGGUGUAGCAGUGAAAUGCGUAGAUAUCGAGAAGAACGCUCGUAGCGAAGGCGAGACUCUGGGCAACUUCUGACGCUGAGGCACGAAGGCCAGGGGAGCAAACGGGAUUAGAUACCCCCGUAGUCC
Molecule: ribosomal RNA, 433 nt
Filed under: uncultured bacterium
Lineage: Bacteria
Description: bacterial SSU rRNA
Rfam family: Bacterial small subunit ribosomal RNA
Source: RNAcentral